GUGAGUGGCGAACUGGUGAGUAACACGUGGGAAACCUGCCCAGAAGCGGGGGAUAACACCUGGAAACAGAUGCUAAUACCGCAUAACAACUUGGACCGCAUGGUCCGAGCUUGAAAGAUGGCUUCGGCUAUCACUUUUGGAUGGUCCCGCGGCGUAUUAGCUAGAUGGUGGGGUAACGGCUCACCAUGGCAAUGAUACGUAGCCGACCUGAGAGGGUAAUCGGCCACAUUGGGACUGAGACACGGCCCAAACUCCUACGGGAGGCAGCAGUAGGGAAUCUUCCACAAUGGACGAAAGUCUGAUGGAGCAACGCCGCGUGAGUGAAGAAGGGUUUCGGCUCGUAAAACUCUGUUGUUAAAGAAGAACAUAUCUGAGAGUAACUGUUCAGGUAUUGACGGUAUUUAACCAGAAAGCCACGGCUAACUACGUGCCAGCAGCCGCGGUAAUACGUAGGUGGCAAGCGUUGUCCGGAUUUAUUGGGCGUAAAGCGAGCGCAGGCGGUUUUUUAAGUCUGAUGUGAAAGCCUUCGGCUCAACCGAAGAAGUGCAUCGGAAACUGGGAAACUUGAGUGCAGAAGAGGACAGUGGAACUCCAUGUGUAGCGGUGAAAUGCGUAGAUAUAUGGAAGAACACCAGUGGCGAAGGCGGCUGUCUGGUCUGUAACUGACGCUGAGGCUCGAAAGUAUGGGUAGCAAACAGGAUUAGAUACCCUGGUAGUCCAUACCGUAAACGAUGAAUGCUAAGUGUUGGAGGGUUUCCGCCCUUCAGUGCUGCAGCUAACGCAUUAAGCAUUCCGCCUGGGGAGUACGGCCGCAAGGCUGAAACUCAAAGGAAUUGACGGGGGGCCCGCACAAGCGGUGGGAGCAUGUGGGUUUAAUUCCAAAGCUACGCCAAAAAACCUUAACCAGGUCCUGGACAUACUAUUGCAAAU
This 930-nucleotide ribosomal RNA is filed under the name Lactiplantibacillus plantarum. Its description in RNAcentral is "bacterial SSU rRNA". It matches the Rfam family "Bacterial small subunit ribosomal RNA", at positions 91 to 998 of the family's 1533-position model. Lineage: Bacteria; Bacillati; Bacillota; Bacilli; Lactobacillales; Lactobacillaceae. The record is from RNAcentral.